Molecule: small nuclear RNA, 107 nt
Filed under: Heterocephalus glaber (naked mole-rat)
Lineage: Eukaryota; Metazoa; Chordata; Mammalia; Rodentia; Bathyergidae
Source: RNAcentral
GUGUUUGCUUCGGCAGCACAUAUACUAAAAUUGGAACGAUACAAAGAAGAUUAGCAUGGCCCCUGCAUAAGGAUGACAGGCAAAUUCGUGAAGCGUUCCGUAUUUUU